UAUAUGCUGCAUGACUGUAGGCAGGGUAGAAGCAGUUGCUGUUGACUCCGGUGUACGUUGCAUCACCCAACAUGUGCUGUUCCCUGAUUUCUGCACACGUCGGGAACUGUUGAUCGUCAACGGCGCUCCGUAUCGGCGACACAGCCGUCAGCUACGGCCGCUGGAUCCUAACGAUAACAGGUGCAUCAGAUAUGCAGCAUAUGCAUGUUUUACAAACUGGAUCUGGGGAUAUCUUGGUCCAAGGAAUAGGCGCCAGAUACCAGGAUGUGUUGUCCGCACAAUCCGGAGCCUGUUCCCAUCAGUCACGUACACAGGCUACUUCCCCUGAAAGGGCUUGUGCACUUCGUCAUAAGCAUCACGACUUGAAUGGUCUUCUGAACGUAGCUGCCACCCAGUGUCCUUGUCAUUGAACCUGGAGCAAAUGACAAACAUAAGGACAAGCUGAUCUACGUCAAAGUCUGCAAAUAUCCUUGGCCUUUGGCAAAAAGGCCCUUCUCAGGGCCACCCCACAUGUCUGCAUCAGAGACCAUGCCUCUGCAUAGAAUAAGCCCUUAUCGUCAUUCAUGAUGAUGAUAUUUAUUAAUUAUAUUAAAUAUUAUUCAUUAAUUUACGUGCAUUCCUGAAAGGCCUGACAAAGGCAUUACGUUUCUUCAACUUUUCUCAAUGCAGGACAGGAGCUGCUGGGUCAGCACACAGAUGCCUCAUCAUCCAACUGUGUUUUCAUCCUUGUUGGACACUGUGCAGCUGUAUUGGUUAGCUAUGCAACAAAUACAACUGGCAUGCAUUGGCAUGGCACUGUCAUAUGCAACUCAAUGAACCUGCUGCAGGAAUCAGCAUCUGAGAAGCUGUUUAGUUUUGGCACAAAAUGAAGAAGAACGCUGUGAAACGCUUCCAAGCCGAAUGUCUGGUCUGUCGAUGACAGCUUAGGAACAUCCUUGAGCAGUGUAGGAGCCAUCAAGAUGUCAUGUAACCGCAUUUCCUUACCUUCCUUCAGCCACUCCCUUGGUGAGGACAGUGGACCGUGGUAGCAGGCAGGGUAAAGAGGGUCUUCAUGUACAUUGAUGUCAACAAUGUGGUUCAUUACUGACACCCAUUUUGCCAGGCAGAGAUCCCCAUCAUCAGCGCUCGUUUUGGGGCACCAGUAGGCAUGUCGGACAAUACUUUCGAUCCACAGCUGCACCACUUGGUGCUUUGCUGUGCGACGGAGAGCAAGAAGUUUCUUCUUGAUGCCUGAUAUAAACAAAAAUGUAACAACAAACUGCAAGCUUUAUGUUCCCUCUGAUUUCACCUUUGACAACAUGCCAGACAUCAAAUCGAUGCUUUAUGUGGGGGCACAGAUCUCGCAUCAUGGCUUUGAUUCCCGUAUGGCGAUCUGUGACGAGUGUCUCGACCACCAUAUCAUGCGCCUCGAGGAAUGCCAGACACCUCUGUAGCCCAUGCUUUUCCAUUGCAUUGCUGCUUGCCACCUCUGUUACCUAGUAUAGUUAAAAGUAGUGAAAGGGAAACAAUCUAUCACCAAGUGCUCUAUAUAAAUUGAAUAACAUUUGAGAUAAAACUUUGCCAAAAAUUUGCAAUAAAAGAGCCCUUAAAGCUAGUGCACUCAAUACGUUUCACAUAAAUGCCCAAAGGUGUAACCAGUUUUUACCUUGACUAACUCAAAGUGCACAAUGCGAUUGGCACUGGUUUCUAGCAGUGUGUAUGUGCCGUAGAGAGCUGUGUGACCUGGAGAGUCACAUCUCCCAUCACCGGCAAGUGUCAUUGGGGUUGGGCGCAGCUUUUCCAAUAACUCUUUCUGCUUCAUCUCGUACACCUGCAAUGACAGUGUUGAACAGCUUAUUGAUUUAUGCACAACAUAAAUCCUCAUAACCAGGCUUUUGUUCUGCAUAGUUCAUCGUACUCGUCAGUUGUUCAACAUUUUGACCAGGGUUGACAAAUAUAGCGUUUAAUGAGGGCUCGUUGUACAUACUCCUUACGAUAAAGCAUGAGGGUUUCAUACGUGUGGCAAUAUUUGUAUUAUAUGAAUGCUACUUGAUGUCAUUUGUCAGUCACCCUGUCAGCGUAUCCUAAAAAUGAGAAGUACUCACGUCAUUCACUGCAGGAAACAAGUAGCACUGCUGUGCCUUGUAGUACUGGGACCUUGAAAGUGCUGGGACUCCCAGUACCUGAAGCAUACGGAGGGCUUUGGCAAUGUUUGUCCCAGAAAAGAGGAUUCCGCAGCACAACAAGACAUUUCCAAGUGGCCUGUUUCCCACCCAUGGCUGGCUCUGCCACAGUCUUUCUUUUUGGCAGCUGCAGGUCAUUGUUGCUCUGACGCAUGUGCCCUUGAGGGUGA
This is a long non-coding RNA of Ornithodoros turicata, 2332 nucleotides long. RefSeq lists it as uncharacterized. Lineage: Eukaryota; Metazoa; Arthropoda; Arachnida; Ixodida; Argasidae. The transcript has 6 exons. The record is from RefSeq and is a predicted model, not a curated record.